AGGAGUAGCAUUUGACAGACCUGGGAGACGUUUGGCUUGCGGCAGAGGCAAAUCUUGCUCAAGUGAGGGAGGCAAAUCAAGGCAGAUCAAGCAGAAAGACAAGAAAUGCAACUUGCAAAGCGAGUUGAUGGCUGCGAAGUCUACUACAGCUCAGCAAUGAGGAGUUAGAAAUCGUCAAAGCUGGUGCAGCUCAGCAAAAUGAAGAGUUAGAGGCAGUGAAGGCUAAAGCCGCUGCACAAAAUGAAGAGUUUGGAGGCACUAAAGGCAAGACAAAAUCAUACUGACAUACUUUUACUUAAAUUGAUGUGUUAUCCUCCCAAAACUGAUGAUUGGUCUAAGCUUCAAAAAAGUACAUCUUGCAAACUGUCAUUGAAGGCUUAUGGAACUUCUAGAAAGACUUGAACUUCUAGAAAGACUUGUAUGUAUUCCGAUUUAUUUUGAAAUUGCUAUUAAGGAUGGA
This is a long non-coding RNA of Rosa rugosa (rugosa rose), 460 nucleotides long. RefSeq lists it as uncharacterized. The transcript is spliced from 3 exons. Lineage: Eukaryota; Viridiplantae; Streptophyta; Magnoliopsida; Rosales; Rosaceae. The record is from RefSeq and is a predicted model, not a curated record.